Molecule: ribosomal RNA, 497 nt
Filed under: uncultured bacterium
Lineage: Bacteria
Description: partial 16S ribosomal RNA
Rfam family: Bacterial small subunit ribosomal RNA
Source: RNAcentral
GAUGAACGCUGGCGGCGUGCCUAAUACAUGCGAGUCGAGCGAACAGACGAGGAGCUUGCUCCUCUGACGUUAGCGGCGGACGGGUGAGUAACACGUGGAUAACCUACCUAUAAGACUGGGAUAACUUCGGGAAACCGGAGCUAAUACCGGAUAAUAUAUUGAACCGCAUGGUUCAAUAGUGAAAGACGGUUUUGCUGUCACUUAUAGAUGGAUCCGCGCCGCAUUAGCUAGUUGGUAAGGUAACGGCUUACCAAGGCAACGAUGCGUAGCCGACCUGAGAGGGUGAUCGGCCACACUGGAACUUAGACACGGUCCAGACUCCUACGGGAGGCAGCAGUAGGGAAUCUUCCGCAAUGGGCGAAAGCUUGACGGAGCAACGCCGCGUGAGUGAUGAAGGUCUUCGGAUCGUAAAACUCUGUUAUUAGGGAAGAACAAAUGUGUAAGUAACUAUGCACGUCUUGACGGUACCUAAUCAGAAAGCCACGGCUAACUACGUG